Long non-coding RNA from Lemur catta (Ring-tailed lemur), 1189 nucleotides. RefSeq lists it as uncharacterized. The record is from RefSeq and is a predicted model, not a curated record. The transcript is spliced from 4 exons. Lineage: Eukaryota; Metazoa; Chordata; Mammalia; Primates; Lemuridae.
ACAGUGUUGUCUGCCCACGAUGUGCCGGGCACUAUCCCAGACACCAAUAUGAAAAGGUGACCAUUCUCUGCAACAGUCCAAUGGAGGAGACAGCCGUAACGCAGUCACGGCCAGAAGGGACAGCAGUUAAAGAACACAUUGGAAGAGAGAAGGAGGCAAUCCUGCCAGAGGAAAUAGCACACACAAACUUACAAUAAGGAAUCUGGCUUGCGCACGGUCGUCCAGCUGCUGAGUAGAAGAGCCAGGACCCUGACUGCUGGCUUGGUGCACCUCCUGCUGCACACCAGCUGCCUCCAAUCACCCUCAGAAUAUCCUGGCCACAUGCCACCGUGGGUGCCCUGUUGUAGGCUGGCAACAGCCCCACCCAGCAGGACCAAGGAUCUGAUUCUUGAGAGCAGGCGGGUUCAUCACAGCGGCAGCGAGACUUACGUGCAGCAGCUGCAGAAUAGUAGUGCUCAUCUUCCCAGUGUGAACGACUUUUUAGUGGAUCAAAGAGAUUUUUAACCUCGGUGUGAAUGUCUUCCAAUUGGAUGUGACGUAUUUUGAAGAGGUAAGAGGCAGGAAAGUUCAGUUGCCAGAAAUAAGAGAGGAACUGAGAAGAAUUUAAGUUCUGAACUGGAAGGUCAUUCUUGCCAGAGGCCUGGGAGGAGGGCUCUUGGCAAAAUUAACCCAAAGAUUCACCCAUCCAAGCUGUUUAAGUCACCUGGUUAACUCUAUGGACUACCAAAUAUAAAUUGGCAUUGGAGAGGAAGAAAGUUGAGAAAAAAUCAAUUUUAUACAGUUGAGGAAGCAAGAUGUUCCACAGUUAUUAUCAUGCAUUAUUUUUUCCAGUAGUGUCCUUUGUGGACAUUGUUAUUACAGAAUCCAGUUAUCACAUUAUACAGUCUGUGCUACCCAAAGCAGAGCUGAUCGUGGCUGGAAAUUUAUCCCAAUAUCAAAAAGACUUGAGAGGACUCUAUGGCACGUGACUAUUAAGCCGUAGACAAUAAUUCAUAUUUAUUUUGAAAAACUAUUCCAAGGCAAACAAACAAAAAGAAUGAUUAAGGAGGGCUCAGCCUUAAAGUGUUUCAAAGCAUAUCUUGUUCUUUCUCAAACCACAGCCUCAACAAUCAGAACUCUGUAUCAUUUUUUUCAACACAUGAAUGCUAAAUAUUAGGUUAUUAAGUAUGAAAUGGCUGAUUUCCUUAAG